AUGAACGCUGGCGGCGUGCCUCAUACAUGCAAGUCGAGCGAACAGAUGAGGAGCUUGCUCCUCUGACGUUAGCGGCGGACGGGUGAGUAACACGUGGAUAACCUACCUAUAAGACUGGGAUAACUUCGGGAAACCGGAGCUAAUACCGGAUAAUAUAUUGAACCGCAUGGUUCAAUAGUGAAGGACGGUUUUGCUGUCACUUAUAGAUGGAUCCGCGCCGCAUUAGCUAGUUGGUAAGGUAACGGCUUACCAAGGCAACGAUGCGUAGCCGACCUGAGAGGGUGAUCGGCCACACUGGAACUGAGACACGGUCCAGACUCCUACGGGAGGCAGCAGUAGGGAAUCUUCCGCAAUGGGCGAAAGCCUGACGGAGCAACGCCGCGUGAGUGAUGAAGGUCUUCGGAUCGUAAAACUCUGUUAUUAGGGAAGAACAAAUGUGUAAGUAACUAUGCACGUCUUGACGGUACCUAAUCAGAAAGCCACGGCUAACUACGUG
This 496-nucleotide ribosomal RNA is filed under the name uncultured bacterium. Its description in RNAcentral is "partial 16S ribosomal RNA". It matches the Rfam family "Bacterial small subunit ribosomal RNA", at positions 29 to 507 of the family's 1533-position model. The record is from RNAcentral.